GGAUCGAUUGGGAUACUCAUCAAAUUAUAAAAAACAACCGGGAAUGCUUCGUUCUUCAAUGGCGGGCCACGCCCAUACGGGUAACCUUCGAGUCGGUGGAUUACAAAGAGGAGCGGGCGCUCAAAUCAUUUCAUCUCGGAGUUUCAUCACAUCUCCUCCCGGCUUUUU
Molecule: small RNA, 168 nt
Filed under: bovine gut metagenome
Description: Bacteroidales-1 6S-Bacteroidales RNA suggested
Rfam family: Bacteroidales-1 6S-Bacteroidales RNA suggested
Source: RNAcentral